CCCCUUAUGUUCCAAGUUACAACAAUCAUUGAGAAUUAGGUUCUACCCUGUAAGAUGGACCAGGGUCUACAUUAUAGCUAUUGCUUCCAUUCUCAUUCAUGACAGCCUUACCAUUAUUAGCAAGAACUGUCUGAUGUUCACCUUUCUCAACUUCAGCAACAGUGAGAACAGUUUCUGAAUUGACUAAAACAUUUUCAAGCCGCAUGGUGUUCUGUGAUCCAUCAGUCUCCCCAUGAUAUUGCAAUUGGCCCUCUACUACAGGAAUCACAACACUAGACUUCUCAACAACAGCCUCUACUGCAGGAUUCACUGAAUUGGUCUGCUCAACAACAGCCCCUACUGCAGGUAUCACUGAAUUGGUCUACUCAGCAAUAGACUGCUUAGCAAUCCAUUC
Molecule: long non-coding RNA, 394 nt
Filed under: Nicotiana benthamiana
Lineage: Eukaryota; Viridiplantae; Streptophyta; Magnoliopsida; Solanales; Solanaceae
Description: long non-coding RNA (NBEN_LNC033879)
Source: RNAcentral